This 410-nucleotide ribosomal RNA is filed under the name uncultured microorganism. RNAcentral's name for it is "bacterial SSU rRNA". It matches the Rfam family "Bacterial small subunit ribosomal RNA", at positions 509 to 917 of the family's 1533-position model. The record is from RNAcentral.
CAGCCGCCGCGGUAAUACGUAGGGUGCGAGCGUUAAUCGGAUUUACUGGGCGUAAAGCGUGCGCAGGCGGCCCGUUAAGACAGGUGUGAAAUCCCUGGGCUCAACCUAGGAAUUGCGCUUGUGACUGGCGGGCUCGGGUACGGUAGAGGGGGGUGGAAUUCCUGGUGUAGCAGUGAAAUGCGUAGAGAUCAGGAGGAACACCGAUGGCGAAGGCAGCCCCCUGGGCCUGUACUGACGCUCAUGCACGAAAGCGUGGGGAGCAAACAGGAUUAGAUACCCUGGUAGUCCACGCCCUAAACGAUGGGUACUAGCCGUUUGGUGCGCGAUAGCGCUGAGUGGCGAAGCUAACGCGUGAAGUACCCCGCCUGGGGAGUACGGCCGCAAGGUUGAAACUUAAAGGAAUUGGCGGG